This 76-nucleotide transfer RNA is filed under the name Acidobacteriota bacterium. Its description in RNAcentral is "tRNA-Ala". It matches the Rfam family "tRNA". From Rfam's summary of the family: Transfer RNA (tRNA) molecules are approximately 80 nucleotides in length. Lineage: Bacteria; Pseudomonadati; Acidobacteriota. The record is from RNAcentral. RNAcentral also lists the same sequence under 2 other names.
GGGGGCAUAGCUCAAUUGGUAGAGCACGUGCUUUGCAAGCAUGAGGUCACCGGUUCGAUCCCGGUUGCCUCCACCA